This 1499-nucleotide ribosomal RNA is filed under the name human gut metagenome. Its description in RNAcentral is "bacterial LSU rRNA". It matches the Rfam family "Bacterial large subunit ribosomal RNA", at positions 1103 to 2615 of the family's 2925-position model. The record is from RNAcentral.
GGCUUAGAAGCAGCCACUCAUUCAAAGAGUGCGUAAUAGCUCACUGGUCGAGUGAGGGUGCGCCGAAGAUUACCGGGGCUAAAACUUGCCACCGAAGUUUAGGGAUGCAGUUUACUGCAUCGGUAGAGGAGCAAUGUAUGCGGGCAGAAGCGAUAUCGUAAGGGGUCGUGGACUGCAUACAAGAGAGAAUGCCGGCAUAAGUAGCGCGAGCAAAGUGAGAAUCUUUGCCGUCGAAUGCCUAAGGUUUCCUGGGGAAGGUUCGUCCUCCCAGGGUAAGUCGGGACCUAAGCCGAGGCCGAAAGGCGUAGGUGAUGGACAACAGGUAGAUAUUCCUGUACCGCCAAAUGACGCUUAAAUGAGGCAAUGACACAGUAGGAUAGUCAAUCCGCGGCGUUGGAUUGCUGCGGCCAAAUCAUGAGGCUGAUGUGUAGUGAAGUACGCACAUCGUCAGGCUAGGUGAUGAUGGGGAGUGAAAACUAGUAACGAAGUUGAUGAAUUCACACUGGCGAGAAAAGUUGCUAAAUAUGUUGUUAGGCGCCCGUACCGCAAACCGACACAGGUAGGCGAGGAGAAAAUCCUAAGACGGACGGGAGAACCCUUGUUAAGGAACUCUGCAAAAUUACCCCGUAACUUCGGGAGAAGGGGAGCCUGCUUUGCAGGCCGCAGUGAAGAGGCCCAAGCGACUGUUUACCAAAAACACAGGUCUCUGCUAAAUCGAAAGAUGAAGUAUAGGGGCUGACGCCUGCCCAGUGCUGGAAGGUUAAGGGGAUGUGUUAGCGCAAGCGAAGCACGGAACUUAAGCCCCAGUGAACGGCGGCCGUAACUAUAACGGUCCUAAGGUAGCGAAAUUCCUUGUCGGGUAAGUUCCGACCCGCACGAAUGGCGUAACGACUUGGGCGCUGUCUCAACAGGGGACCCGGCGAAAUUGUACUAUACGUGAAGAUGCGUAUUACCCGCGACUGGACGGAGAGACCCCGUAGAGCUUUACUGUAGCUUGAUAUUGGAAUUCGGUAAUUUAUGUACAGGAUAGGUGGGAGACUUGGAAACAUGGGCGUCAGCUCAUGCGGAGUCAACCUUGGGAUACCACCCUUGAAUUAUUGGGUUUCUAACACCAGACCGUAAUCCGGCUGGUGGACAGUGUCAGGUGGGCAGUUUGACUGGGGCGGUCGCCUCCCAAAAUGUAACGGAGGCGUUCUAAGGUUCCCUCAGGAUGGUUGGAAAUCAUCCAAAGAGCGUAAAGGUAGAAGGGAGCUUAACUGCGAGACAGACAUGUCGAGCAGAUACGAAAGUAGGACUUAGUGACCCGGCGGUUGAGUAUGGAAUUGCCGUCGAUUAACGGAUAAAAGUUACCUCGGGGAUAACAGGCUUAUCUCCCCCAAGAGUUCACAUCGACGGGGAGGUUUGGCACCUCGAUGUCGGCUCGUCACAUCCUGGGGCUGUAGUCGGUCCCAAGGGUUCGGCUGUUCGCCGAUUAAAGUGGCACGCGAGCUGGGUUCAGA